AUUGAACGCUGGCGGCAUGCCUUACACAUGCAAGUCGAACGGUAACGGGCCUUCGGGCGCCGACGAGUGGCGAACGGGUGAGUAAUGCAUCGGAACGUACCUUUCAGUGGGGGAUAACGUAGCGAAAGUUACGCUAAUACCGCAUAUUCUGUGAGCAGGAAAGCAGGGGAUCGCAAGACCUUGCGCUGAUUGAGCGGCCGAUGUCAGAUUAGCUAGUUGGUGAGGUAAAGGCUCACCAAGGCGACGAUCUGUAGCGGGUCUGAGAGGAUGAUCCGCCACACUGGAACUGAGACACGGUCCAGACUCCUACGGGAGGCAGCAGUGGGGGAAUUUUGGACAAUGGGGGCAACCCUGAUCCAGCCAUGCCGCGUGAGUGAAGAAGGCCUCGGUUGUAAG
RNAcentral lists this ribosomal RNA (396 nucleotides) under uncultured bacterium. RNAcentral describes it as "bacterial SSU rRNA". It matches the Rfam family "Bacterial small subunit ribosomal RNA", at positions 30 to 429 of the family's 1533-position model. The record is from RNAcentral.